UGUUUAUCAUGGAAUUAUAUGUAGAGGAUCCAUCUAAGAAACCAAGAAACAUACUUGAUGUUGGAUGCGGUAUUGGUGGCAGCACCAGGUACCUAGCAAGUAAAUACGGUGCUCAAGCCAAAGGCAUCACCCUCAGCCCUGUUGAGGCCGAAAGAGCUCGUGUUCUAACUGCUGCCCAAGGAUUGGAAAGUCAGGUUUCGUUUGAAGUGGCAGAUGCAUUGAAUCAGCCAUUUGCAGAUGGGUCAUUCGAUUUAAUUUGGUGUAUUGAAUGUGAAAAUCACAUAAGCGAUAAAACAAAGUUUGUUCAUGAGUUGAAUCGGGUGGCUGCCCUGGUGCUACUAUCAUUUUACUCACUUGGUGUCAUAGGGAUCUUUCGCCCCUUGAAAACGAUUUGCAUCCAGAUGAGAAAAAGUUGCUGACCCAAACGGGGAGCAGAAGUCGUGUUAAGUGGAUUUCUACUGCUGAUUACAUAAAUUUAUUCCAGUCAUGCUCUUUUCAGGAGAUCAAGUAUGCGGACUGGUCUCCACACGUUGCUCCAUAUUAUGCAGAACUGAGGAAGAUAACGUUGUCAUGGAAGGGAAUCAUGUCGUAUGUUAGACAUGCUGGAUGGAGGCAAAUGAGCAUCAAGUUUCUGAUGAUGCCGUCAGUGUUCGACACAUUCAAAAAUGGUCUGCUUAAGUAUUGCAUUCUUACGUGCCAGAAGCCUCAGUAGUUCAGUUCCAGUGAUGCUUAAUGUCCAUGCAUAAAUAUCACUCCACAGUCGAUAGUUCCUUGUUUUUUUUCUCAAAAGCUAAUUUGUACUUGUAUUGUUCCUCAAAACGUGAGAAUCUUUCUGAUUUUGAGAUUUACCAUUAGAAUUUUCCUUUUUUUUUUCUUUGGAAGAUCUACUAUAUUGUGCAAAUGCGUUGCACAA
Molecule: non-coding RNA, 913 nt
Organism: Coffea arabica (coffee)
Lineage: Eukaryota; Viridiplantae; Streptophyta; Magnoliopsida; Gentianales; Rubiaceae
Source: RefSeq, a predicted model, not a curated record